Molecule: ribosomal RNA, 440 nt
Filed under: uncultured bacterium
Lineage: Bacteria
Description: partial 16S ribosomal RNA
Rfam family: Bacterial small subunit ribosomal RNA
Source: RNAcentral
CCUACGGGAGGCAGCAGUGGGGAAUAUUGCACAAUGGGGGAAACUCUGAUGCCGCGACGCCGCGUGCGUGAGGAAGUAUUUCGGUAUGUAAAGCUCUAUCAGCAGGGAAGAAAAUCACGGUACCUGACUAAGAAGCCCCGGCUAACUACGUGACAGCAGCCGCGGUACUACGUAGGGGGCCAGCGUUAUCCGGAUGUACUGGGUGUAAAGGGAGCGUAGGCGGUUAAUCAAGUCAGAAGUGAAAUCCCAGGGCUCAACCUUGGGACUGCUUUUGAAACUGAGUAGCUAGAGAGCAGGAGCGGUAAGCGGAAUGCCUAGUGUAGCGGUGAAAUGCGUAGAUAUUAGGAGGAACACCAGUGGCGAAGGCGGCUUACUAAACUGUAACUGACGUUGAGGCUCGAAAGCGUGGGGAGCAAACAGGAUUAGAUACCCUUGUAGUC